This 252-nucleotide unclassified non-coding RNA is filed under the name uncultured Phycisphaeraceae bacterium. RNAcentral's name for it is "contains 16S-23S intergenic spacer region". It matches the Rfam family "Bacterial small subunit ribosomal RNA", at positions 524 to 776 of the family's 1533-position model. The record is from RNAcentral. Lineage: Bacteria; Pseudomonadati; Planctomycetota; Phycisphaerae; Phycisphaerales; Phycisphaeraceae.
UACGAAGGGCCUGAGCGUUAAUCGGAAUCACUGGGCUAAAGCGUGCGCAGGCGGAUCGGCUAGUACUUUGUGAAAUCCCACGGCUCAACCGUGGAACUGCUUGGUAUACUGCCGAUCUUGAGCAUGGUAGGGGCGGUCGGAACGAUAGGUGGAGCGGUGAAAUGCGUAGAUAUCUAUCGGAACGCCGAAGGUGAAGACCGGCCGCUGGGCCAUUGCUGACGCUCAGGCACGAAAGCGUGGGGAGCGAACGGG